AGCAGCCGCGGUAAUUCCAGCUCCAAUAGCGUAUAUUAAAGUUGUUGCAGUUAAAAAGCUCGUAGUUGAAUUUCGGGGUUAGUAGGUUGGUCAUGCCUCUGGUAUGUACUGGUCUCACUGAUUCCUCCUUCCUGAUGAACCGUAAUGCCGUUAAUUUGGUGUUGCGGGGAAUUUGGACUGUUACUUUGAAAAAAUUAGAGUGUUUAAAGCAAGCUAACGCUUGAAUACAUUAGCAUGGAAUAAUGAAAUAGGACGUUCGAUCCUAUUUUGUUGGUUUCUAGGAUUGACGUAAUGAUUAAUAGGGAUAGUUGGGGGCAUUAGUAUUCAAUUGUCAGAGGUGAAAUUCUUGGAUUUAUUGAAGACUAACUACUGCGAAAGCAUUUGCCAAGGAUGUUUUCAUUAAUCAAGAACGAAAGUUAGGGGAUCGAAGACGAUCAGAUACCGUCGUAG
RNAcentral lists this ribosomal RNA (450 nucleotides) under uncultured Glomeromycotina. Its description in RNAcentral is "SSU rRNA". It matches the Rfam family "Eukaryotic small subunit ribosomal RNA", at positions 569 to 1023 of the family's 1831-position model. The record is from RNAcentral. Lineage: Eukaryota; Fungi; Glomeromycota.